CCUGUGAACUGUAAGAUGCUUAGUGUUUCGGCACGGCAUCUGCCCUUUAUAAACAAUUAAUGUAACAAAUGUAGUCUUAUUAUAAUCAAUAAAACUUUCAACAACGGAUCUCUUGGCUCUCGCAUCGAUGAAGAACGCAGCGAAAUGCGAUAAGUAAUGUGAAUUGCAGAAUUCAGUGAAUCAUCGAAUCUUUGAACGCACCUUGCGCUCCUUGGUAUUCCGAGGAGCAUGCCUGUUUGAGUGUCAUGAAAAUAUCAACCAAGACUUGGGUUUUUGCUCUUGUUCUUGGCUUGGAAUUGGGUGCUUGCAAUCUUUACAGAUGGCUCACCUUAAAAGAAUUAGCUGGAUCUGUUCUGAGAAUUGGUUUGACUUGGCGUAAUAAGUAUUUCGCUAAGGACAUCUUCGGAUGGCCAAUACUCUUAACGAAUGUCCGCUUUCUAAUCCUGUUUCCUUUGGAGACUAUACUUUUAUGAUCUGGCCUCAAAUCAGG
Molecule: ribosomal RNA, 490 nt
Filed under: Piskurozyma capsuligena
Lineage: Eukaryota; Fungi; Basidiomycota; Tremellomycetes; Filobasidiales; Piskurozymaceae
Description: eukaryotic LSU rRNA
Rfam family: 5.8S ribosomal RNA (bases 93-246)
Source: RNAcentral